GCAGAUUGAACAGGGGACGUUUAUUGACAAAUAAGACAAGCACGAUAGGAGGGAGUGGCUUGAACAGUCCAGACAGUAGGAAAGGGCGUACAACAGUGAAGCAGGCAGAUGGGGGGGGAUGACCGCCGAGGAGGGCCCUGGGUGCCAACCGAGCGCAGGACUGUAGAGGAGGCUGUGCUAGAGACCAGACCACAGCACCAGGAACCAAGGGCACUUGGCUAUGGAGGUGAAGCCACACAUGUCAGACCUCCAGGCAGGGAGACCCAGUGGCCAGGGAGAAAGCAGGAGGCAAGACAGGAACAGACAGAACUCACAAAACACUAGACAAGACUCAAGACAACAAGAGAACAAAAAUAGUAAUAAGAACAAAAAUAGUAAUAAUAAUAAUAAUAAUAAUAAUAAUAAUAAUAAUUCAAAACAAGAGCAAAAAGUCAGACAGGAAUGCUAUGACCUAGAAACAAGAUAAAAGGGGAGCUAGAGAAAUAACCAAAGCUGACUUACCAAAAGUAAAUUAAAAGGUAAAGAAACAAAUACAAAAUAGUUCUAGAAAUAACUGGAAAGACUAAAUCAAGAAACUCAAACUCAACAACAAAAACAAGUCAAACUCAAAAACAAAUCAAACUCAUGAGAAACUAAAAUAGAGAUCCAAACAAAAAGAAAAACUGAAACUGGACUAAACCGUGACCAGAUAAACUUAAACUAAUAAAUACCAGACUUUAACAGACAAAGAAAAUCUCGAUUAGUAAAGAUCAGCUAGCAAGCUAAGCAAACACUAACUCACACAGCAAAACGAACCAGCAAACACAUGAGGGAAAUGAGCACAAUAAAUAGGAAGGAAAGCACACCACACAAGGUGAGAACAAUCAAUUAAUGAGUGCCAAACAAGGACUAAACGAGGGGGCGUGGUAAUGUGAAACAAGGGGGCAGGACAAAAGGAGCACAUGGCCAACAUAAACAAAGACAAAGCCAUGUGGUCAUACACAGGACAAACAGAGAAACACUAAACAAAGACAAAAUAGACACAGCUGCCAGGGCAGAACCCUGACAGUU
This is a long non-coding RNA of Cyprinus carpio carpio, 1050 nucleotides long. The record is from Ensembl. Lineage: Eukaryota; Metazoa; Chordata; Actinopteri; Cypriniformes; Cyprinidae.